GACGAACGCUGGCGGCGUGCUUAACACAUGCAAGUCGAACGGAAAGGCCCUGCUUUUGUGGGGUGCUCGAGUGGCGAACGGGUGAGUAACACGUGAGUAACCUGCCCUUGACUUUGGGAUAACUUCAGGAAACUGGGGCUAAUACCGGAUAGGAGCUCCUGUUGCAUGGUGGGGGUUGGAAAGUUUCGGCGGUUGGGGAUGGACUCGCGGCUUAUCAGCUUGCUGGUGGGGUAGUGGCUUACCAAGGCUUUGACGGGUAGCCGGCCUGAGAGGGUGACCGGCCACAUUGGGACUGAGAUACGGCCCAGACUCCUACGGGAGGCAGCAGUGGGGAAUAUUGCACAAUGGGCGGAAGCCUGAUGCAGCAACGCCGCGUGCGGGAUGACGGCCUUCGGGUUGUAAACCGCUUUCGCCUGUGACGAAGCGUGAGUGACGGUAAUGGGUAAAGAAGCACCGGCUAACUACGUG
RNAcentral lists this ribosomal RNA (468 nucleotides) under uncultured bacterium. RNAcentral's name for it is "partial 16S ribosomal RNA". It matches the Rfam family "Bacterial small subunit ribosomal RNA", at positions 28 to 507 of the family's 1533-position model. The record is from RNAcentral.